Molecule: ribosomal RNA, 891 nt
Filed under: uncultured bacterium
Lineage: Bacteria
Description: bacterial SSU rRNA
Rfam family: Bacterial small subunit ribosomal RNA
Source: RNAcentral
AGAGUUUGAUCAUGGCUCAGAACGAANGCUGGCGGCGUGCCUAAGACAUGCAAGUCGUGCGAGAAAGGGGCUUCGGCCCUGAGUAAAGCGGCGCACGGGUGAGUAACGCGUGGGUAACCUACCUCGAAGUUGGGAAUAACCCGGGGAAACCUGGGCUAAUGCCGGAUGAGCCCACGAGAUCCUUGGAUCAUGUGGGAAAAGGUGGCCUCUGCUUGCAAGCUACCGCUUCGAGACGGGCCCGCGUCCCAUUAGCUAGUUGGUGAGGUAACGGCUCACCAAGGCUCCGAUGGGUAGCUGGUCUGAGAGGACGAUCAGCCACACUGGAACUGAGACACGGUCCAGACUCCUACGGGAAGCAGCAGUCGGGAAUCUUGGGCAAUGGGCGCAAGCCUGACCCAGCGACGCCGCGUGAGGGAUGAAGGCCUUCGGGUCGUAAACCUCUGUCGGGAGGGAAGAACGGCGGUGAGGUGAAUAAUCUCGCCGAUUGACGGUACCUCCAAAGGAAGCGCCGGCUAACUCCGUGCCAGCAGCCGCGGUAAUACGGAGGGCGCAAGCGUUGUUCGGAAUCACUGGGCGUAAAGCGCGUGUAGGCGGCCGGGCAAGUCGGAUGUGAAAUCCCGAGGCUCAACCUCGGAACUGCAUUCGAAACUGCUCGGCUCGAGUCCCGGAGAGGAUGGCGGAAUUCCCGGUGUAGGGGUGAAAUCCGUAGAUAUCGGGAGGAACACCAGUGGCGAAGGCGGCCAUCUGGACGGUGACUGACACUGAGACGCGAAAGCGUGGGGAGCAAACAGGAUUAGAUACCCUGGUAGUCCACGCCGUAAACGGUGAGUGCUAGACGUCGCGGGUAUUGACCCCCGCGGUGUCGAAGCUAACGCGUUAAGCACUCCGCCU